UGAAUCUUUCGCAUUGUUAAUCAUACAAGUGCAUAUAAUAAACACAAAAAUCAAUGAUAAUUAUGCCAUUAUAUAAUUCCGAAAAAUUAACGCACUGUAUUCAUAUAAAUCUAUCAGCACUUUAUCAAAUUAAUAACAUUUAUUCUGUGUUAAAAUGCAAGCAAAUUAAUUUGAAUAAACUAUAAGUUAUAUUUUAUGAUAAAUUUUGUAUGCUAAUAGAUUACAAUGUCCUUAUAUGGAAAAAAUGCACACUAUUAUCAUAAUAUUGUUUAAAUAUU
This 278-nucleotide ribosomal RNA is filed under the name Drosophila suzukii. RNAcentral describes it as "partial 28S ribosomal RNA". Lineage: Eukaryota; Metazoa; Arthropoda; Insecta; Diptera; Drosophilidae. The record is from RNAcentral.